This 149-nucleotide unclassified non-coding RNA is filed under the name soil metagenome. Its description in RNAcentral is "partial internal transcribed spacer 1". The record is from RNAcentral.
CCGAGUUUACAACUCCCAAACCCCUGUGAACAUACCUAUACGUUGCCAUCGGCGGAUCAGCCCGCGCCCCGUAAAAAGGGACGGCCCGCCCGAGGACCCCUAAACUCUGUUUUUAGUGGAACUUCUGAGUAAAACAAACAAAUAAAUCA